UUGGAGGAUGUAUAUAUAUAUAUUAAUUACAAUGCAAUAUAUAUAAACCGACACUACGGUUAAAGUUCUGGAUAGAAUACUGAUAAUGACAUUUUUCUAUCUAUAUGUCUUGACCAAAUUUUGUGCCAGCAGUCGCGGCAACACAAAGGAGACAGCGUUAUUCAUCUUUAUUAGGUUUAAAGGGUACCUAGACGGCAUAUCAAGCCCCAAAAGGGAACGGAUAUACUAGAGUUUUAUGUGAGAGGCCUAUAGAACCAUUGGAGUAGAGAUAAAAUUUUAGGAUACCAUUGGGACUGGUAACGGCGAAGGCAAUCCUCUAUGUAAUAACUGACGUUGAGGGACGAAGGCUUGGGUAAUGAAUAGGAUUAGAUACCCUAGUAGUCCAAGCAGAUAAUUAUGAAUGUCAUAGAUUAGUUUGAGAUAGAGUUAGAUAAAUCUAGGUUUAAUCUAGCUCCAAGAUAUAGUAAAUCAAUAAUAUCAUUGUUUAAUCUAUAUAUUGAUCUAUAAAUGAAAGUGUAAGCAUUCCACCUCAAGAGUAAGGCGGCAACGUUGGAACUGAAAUCAUUAGACCGUUUCUGAAACCAGUAGUGAAGUAUGUUAUUUAAUUCGAUAACCCUCGAACAACCUUACCACAGUUUGAAUGUUAAUUAAAAAAUUAACACAGSGUUGCAUGGCUGUAUUCAGUUGAUGUCGUGAGAUAUGGUUGGAUCCAUUAAAAUUAGCGUAAACCCUUGUUCAUUAUUUGUUCUAAUAAUACCGUUAACCGUUAUAGUGGAUAAUAUAAUAGGG
RNAcentral lists this ribosomal RNA (789 nucleotides) under Guignardia gaultheriae. RNAcentral's name for it is "mitochondrial SSU rRNA". It matches the Rfam family "Bacterial small subunit ribosomal RNA", at positions 401 to 1178 of the family's 1533-position model. The record is from RNAcentral. Lineage: Eukaryota; Fungi; Ascomycota; Dothideomycetes; Botryosphaeriales; Phyllostictaceae.